AUACGGAGGGUGCAAGCGUUAUCCGGAUUUACUGGGUUUAAAGGGUACGCAGGCGGUAAUCUAAGUCAGUGGUGAAAGCCUACAGCUCAACUGUAGAACUGCCAUUGAAACUGAAUUACUUGAGUAUGGUAGAGGUAGGCGGAAUACAACAUGUAGCGGCGAAAUGCAUAGAUAUGUUGUAGAACGCCGAUUGCGAAGGCAGCUUACUAAACCAUUACUGACGCUCAUGUACGAAAGCGUGGGGAGCGAGCAGGAUUAGAAACCCUAGUAGUCC
RNAcentral lists this ribosomal RNA (274 nucleotides) under uncultured bacterium. RNAcentral describes it as "partial 16S ribosomal RNA". It matches the Rfam family "Bacterial small subunit ribosomal RNA", at positions 523 to 796 of the family's 1533-position model. The record is from RNAcentral.